GACGAACGCUGGCGGCGUGCUUAACACAUGCAAGUCGAACGGAAAGGCCCUGCUUUUGUGGGGUGCUCGAGUGGCGAACGGGUGAGUAACACGUGAGUAACCUGCCCUUGACUUUGGGAUAACUUCAGGAAACUGGGGCUAAUACCGGAUAGGAGCUCCUGCUGCAUGGUGGGGGUUGGAAAGUUUCGGCGGUUGGGGAUGGACUCGCGGCUUAUCAGCUUGUUGGUGGGGUAGUGGCUUACCAAGGCUUUGACGGGUAGCCGGCCUGAGAGGGUGACCGGCCACAUUGGGACUGAGAUACGGCCCAGACUCCUACGGGAGGCAGCAGUGGGGAAUAUUGGACAAUGGGCGAAAGCCUGAUCCAGCCAUGCCGCGUGUGUGAAGAAGGCCUUUUGGUUGUAAAGCACUUUAAGCGAGGAGGAGGCUACUUAGAUUAAUACUCUAGGAUAGUGGACGUUACUCGCAGAAUAAGCACCGGCUAACUCUGUGCCAGCAGCCGCGGUAAUACAGAGGGUGCGAGCGUUAAUCGGAUUUACUGGGCGUAAAGCGUGCGUAGGCGGCUUCUUAAGUCGGAUGUGAAAUCCCUGAGCUUAACUUAGGAAUUGCAUUCGAUACUGGGAAGCUAGAGUAUGGGAGAGGAUGGUAGAAUUCCAGGUGUAGCGGUGAAAUGCGUAGAGAUCUGGAGGAAUACCGAUGGCGAAGGCAGCCUUCUGGCCUAAUACUGACGCUGAGGUACGAAAGCAUGGGGAGCAAACAGGAUUAGAUACCCUGGUAGUCCAUGCCGUAAACGAUGUCUACUAGCCGUUGGGGCCUUUGAGGCUUUAGUGGCGCAGCUAACGCGAUAAGUAGACCGCCUGGGGAGUACGGUCGCAAGACUAAAACUCAAAUGAAUUGACGGGGGCCCGCACAAGCGGUGGAGCAUGUGGUUUAAUUCGAUGCAACGCGAAGAACCUUACCUGGUCUUGACAUAGUAAGAACUUUCCAGAGAUGGAUUGGUGCCUUCGGGAACUUACAUACAGGUGCUGCAUGGCUGUCGUCAGCUCGUGUCGUGAGAUGUUGGGUUAAGUCCCGCAACGAGCGCAACCCUUUUCCUUAUUUGCCAGCGGGUUAAGCCGGGAACUUUAAGGAUACUGCCAGUGACAAACUGGAGGAAGGCGGGGACGACGUCAAGUCAUCAUGGCCCUUACGACCAGGGCUACACACGUGCUACAAUGGUCGGUACAAAGGGUUGCUACCUAGCGAUAGGAUGCUAAUCUCAAAAGGCCGAUCGUAGUCCGGAUUGGAGUCUGCAACUCGACUCCAUGAAGUCGGAAUCGCUAGUAAUCGCGGAUCAGAAUGCCGCGGUGAAUACGUUCCCGGGCCU
Molecule: ribosomal RNA, 1363 nt
Filed under: uncultured bacterium
Lineage: Bacteria
Description: bacterial SSU rRNA
Rfam family: Bacterial small subunit ribosomal RNA
Source: RNAcentral